UGGCGAACGGGUGAGUAACGCGUGAGUAACCUGCCCUAGAGUGGGGGGACAACAGUUGGAAACGACUGCUAAUACCGCAUAAGCCCACGGUACCGCAUGGCACUGAGGGAAAAGGAUUUAUUCGCUUUAGGAUGGACUCGCGUCCAAUUAGCUAGUUGGUGAGGUAACGGCCCACCAAGGCGACGAUUGGUAGCCGGACUGAGAGGUUGAACGGCCACAUUGGGACUGAGACACGGCCCAG
RNAcentral lists this ribosomal RNA (241 nucleotides) under uncultured bacterium. RNAcentral's name for it is "partial 16S ribosomal RNA". It matches the Rfam family "Bacterial small subunit ribosomal RNA", at positions 96 to 334 of the family's 1533-position model. The record is from RNAcentral.